Macrobrachium nipponense is the source of this 343-nucleotide long non-coding RNA. RefSeq lists it as uncharacterized. The transcript is spliced from 3 exons. The record is from RefSeq and is a predicted model, not a curated record. NCBI's taxonomy places the organism in Eukaryota, Metazoa, Arthropoda, Malacostraca, Decapoda, Palaemonidae.
CGCCAUACGAGUAACGUUUUCUUUUAUCUCCGAGUUUUCCAAAAAACGUUGUUUUGGAUACACAUUUGUGCAAGCAUGAAAUCGCAUAUAUUAUCCAGAAAGUGCCGGAGAAGUAUCACGACCAAAGAUGUAUAAUUAAAAAUAUUUAGGAGUUGCACACUUCUACCAAGGAAGAGUAACUGUCUAGACAAGAGAGGAUUGGCUGAUGUGAAGAGGAUUCAGAAGUACUAAUUGCCACCCUUUCCUGCUCUCAAAGAAAUACAAGGCAAGAAGCGGUUAUAAAAACCUGACAAGUAAAAACGUAACACGAGAGAAUAAAAUCCGAUCAACCAUGCACAGCAAC